GCUGGUGUGGCUCAGUGGAUAGAGCAUCAGCCUGUGGACUGAAGAGUCACGGGUUUGAUUCCGGUCAAGGGCA
Non-coding RNA from Myotis brandtii (Brandt's bat), 73 nucleotides. Lineage: Eukaryota; Metazoa; Chordata; Mammalia; Chiroptera; Vespertilionidae. The record is from Rfam.